This 110-nucleotide non-coding RNA is filed under the name Paenalicyclobacillus ferrooxydans. RNAcentral describes it as "Alicyclobacillus ferrooxydans TPP sequence". It matches the Rfam family "TPP riboswitch aptamer (THI element)". Rfam says of the family: Vitamin B(1) in its active form thiamin pyrophosphate (TPP) is an essential coenzyme that is synthesised by coupling of pyrimidine and thiazole moieties in bacteria. The previously detected thiamin-regulatory element, thi box was extended, resulting in a new, highly conserved RNA secondary structure, the THI element, which is widely distributed in eubacteria and also occurs in some archaea. Analysis of operon structures identified a large number of new candidate thiamin-regulated genes, mostly transporters, in various prokaryotic organisms. The record is from Rfam by way of RNAcentral. Lineage: Bacteria; Bacillati; Bacillota; Bacilli; Caryophanales; Alicyclobacillaceae.
AUAAGUCACACGGGAGCUCGGCAAACCGGGCUGAGAGGGCGAAUGGAUGUUCGCCGACCGUUAACCUGAUCUGGAUAAUGCCAGCGUAGGAAUUGUGUUGCACAUGUCAU